UACGAAGGGGGCGAGCGUUGUUCGGAUUUACUGGGCGUAAAGGGCGCGUAGGCGGCGCGAGAAGUCGAGUGUGAAAGCCCCGGGCUCAACCUGGGAAUUGCGCUAGAUACUCUAGUGCUUGAGUUCGGGAGAGGAGCGUGGAAUUCCCAGUGUAGAGGUGAAAUUCGUAGAUAUUGGGAAGAACACCGGUGGCGAAGGCGGCGCUCUGGACCGAGACUGACGCUGAGGCGCGAAAGCGUGGGGAGCAAACAGG
RNAcentral lists this ribosomal RNA (253 nucleotides) under uncultured bacterium. Its description in RNAcentral is "partial 16S ribosomal RNA". It matches the Rfam family "Bacterial small subunit ribosomal RNA", at positions 524 to 776 of the family's 1533-position model. The record is from RNAcentral.